This 445-nucleotide ribosomal RNA is filed under the name uncultured bacterium. RNAcentral's name for it is "bacterial SSU rRNA". It matches the Rfam family "Bacterial small subunit ribosomal RNA", at positions 354 to 796 of the family's 1533-position model. The record is from RNAcentral.
GUAGGGAAUAUUGGGCAAUGGAUGCAAGUCUGACCCAGCCAUGCCGCGUGGAGGAAGAAGGUCCUCUGGAUUGUAAACUCCUUUUUUGGGGGAAGAAUAGUUCUCUUGCGAGGGAAUGUGACGGUACCCUAAGAAUAAGCCAAGGCUAACUACGUGCCAGCAGCCGCGGUAAUACGUAGGUGGCAAGCGUUGUCCGGAUUUAUUGGGUUUAAAGGGUGCGUAGGUGGUUUGAUAAGUCAGUGGUGAAAGCUGGUUGCUCAACAAUCAAGUUGCCAUUGAUACUGUCGGACUUGAGAGAAGUGGAGGUUCAUGGAAUGGAUGGUGUAGCGGUGAAAUGCAUAGAUAUCAUCCAGAACGUCGAUUGCGAAGGCAGUGGGCUGUACUUUAUCUGACACUGAGGCACGAAAGUGUGGGGAUCAAACAGGAUUAGAAACCCGAGUAGUCC